Molecule: unclassified non-coding RNA, 367 nt
Filed under: uncultured fungus
Lineage: Eukaryota; Fungi
Description: partial contains 5.8S ribosomal RNA and internal transcribed spacer 2
Rfam family: 5.8S ribosomal RNA (bases 1-133)
Source: RNAcentral
UGGCUCUCGCAUCGAUGAAGAACGCAGCGAAAUGCGAUAAGUAAUGUGAAUUGCAGAAUUCAGUGAAUCAUCGAAUCUUUGAACGCACCUUGCGCUCCUUGGUAUUCCGAGGAGCAUGCCUGUUUGAGUGUCUUGAAAUCAUCAAGCCCCGGAUUCGCGUCCGGAGGCUUGGACUUGGGGGUUCUUUUGCUGCUUCACGGCGGCUCCCCUUAAAUGAAUCGGUUGCGGUCCGUCCGGCUUCAGUCCUCGGCGUUGUAUUUGCCUCGCCCCGCGUCUCGUCGGCAGCGCCCUUCCCCGACCGCCUUUUGAGCGGCGGUCAACACUCUAUUUGAAAUCUGACCUCAAAUCAGGUAGGACUACCCGCUGA